AUGAAGAACGCAGCGAAAUGCGAUAAGUAAUGUGAAUUGCAGAAUUCAGUGAAUCAUCGAGUCUUUGAACGCACAUUGCGCCCCCUGGUAUUCCGGGGGGCAUGCCUGUCCGAGCGUCAUUGCCGCCCUCAAGCACGGCUUGUGUGUUGGGCCCCCGCCCCCCGGCUUCGGGGGGCGGGCCCGAAAGGCAGCGGCGGCACCGCGUCCGGUCCUCGAGCGUAUGGGGCUUCGUCACCCGCUCUGUAGGCCCGGCCGGCGCCCGCCGGCGACCCCAAUCAAUCUUUCCAGGUUGACCUCGGAUCAGGUAGGGAUACCCGCUGAACUUAAGCAUAUCAAUAAGCGGAGGA
RNAcentral lists this unclassified non-coding RNA (347 nucleotides) under soil metagenome. RNAcentral describes it as "partial contains 5.8S ribosomal RNA, internal transcribed spacer 2, and large subunit ribosomal RNA". The stretch from base 1 to 119 matches the Rfam family "5.8S ribosomal RNA", at positions 36 to 154 of the family's 154-position model. The record is from RNAcentral.